RNAcentral lists this ribosomal RNA (2933 nucleotides) under Escherichia coli. RNAcentral describes it as "bacterial LSU rRNA". It matches the Rfam family "Bacterial large subunit ribosomal RNA". Lineage: Bacteria; Pseudomonadati; Pseudomonadota; Gammaproteobacteria; Enterobacterales; Enterobacteriaceae. The record is from RNAcentral.
GGGUUGUGAGGUUAAGCGACUAAGCGUACACGGUGGAUGCCCUGGCAGUCAGAGGCGAUGAAGGACGUGCUAAUCUGCGAUAAGCGUCGGUAAGGUGAUAUGAACCGUUAUAACCGGCGAUUUCCGAAUGGGGAAACCCAGUGUGUUUCGACACACUAUCAUUAACUGAAUCCAUAGGUUAAUGAGGCGAACCGGGGGAACUGAAACAUCUAAGUACCCCGAGGAAAAGAAAUCAACCGAGAUUCCCCCAGUAGCGGCGAGCGAACGGGGAGCAGCCCAGAGCCUGAAUCAGUAUGUGUGUUAGUGGAAGCGUCUGGAAAGGCGCGCGAUACAGGGUGACAGCCCCGUACACAAAAAUGCACAUGCUGUGAGCUCGAUGAGUAGGGCGGGACACGUGGUAUCCUGUCUGAAUAUGGGGGGACCAUCCUCCAAGGCUAAAUACUCCUGACUGACCGAUAGUGAACCAGUACCGUGAGGGAAAGGCGAAAAGAACCCCGGCGAGGGGAGUGAAAAAGAACCUGAAACCGUGUACGUACAAGCAGUGGGAGCACAGAGCAAUCUGUGUGACUGCGUACCUUUUGUAUAAUGGGUCAGCGACUUAUAUUCUGUAGCAAGGUUAACCGAAUAGGGGAGCCGAAGGGAAACCGAGUCUUAACUGGGCGUUAAGUUGCAGGGUAUAGACCCGAAACCCGGUGAUCUAGCCAUGGGCAGGUUGAAGGUUGGGUAACACUAACUGGAGGACCGAACCGACUAAUGUUGAAAAAUUAGCGGAUGACUUGUGGCUGGGGGUGAAAGGCCAAUCAAACCGGGAGAUAGCUGGUUCUCCCCGAAAGCUAUUUAGGUAGCGCCUCGUGAAUUCAUCUCCGGGGGUAGAGCACUGUUUCGGCAAGGGGGUCAUCCCGACUUACCAACCCGAUGCAAACUGCGAAUACCGGAGAAUGUUAUCACGGGAGACACACGGCGGGUGCUAACGUCCGUCGUGAAGAGGGAAACAACCCAGACCGCCAGCUAAGGUCCCAAAGUCAUGGUUAAGUGGGAAACGAUGUGGGAAGGCCCAGACAGCCAGGAUGUUGGCUUAGAAGCAGCCAUCAUUUAAAGAAAGCGUAAUAGCUCACUGGUCGAGUCGGCCUGCGCGGAAGAUGUAACGGGGCUAAACCAUGCACCGAAGCUGCGGCAGCGACGCUGAUGCGUUGUUGGGUAGGGGAGCGUUCUGUAAGCCUGUGAAGGUGUGCUGUGAGGCAUGCUGGAGGUAUCAGAAGUGCGAAUGCUGACAUAAGUAACGAUAAAGCGGGUGAAAAGCCCGCUCGCCGGAAGACCAAGGGUUCCUGUCCAACGUUAAUCGGGGCAGGGUGAGUCGACCCCUAAGGCGAGGCCGAAAGGCGUAGUCGAUGGGAAACAGGUUAAUAUUCCUGUACUUGGUGUUACUGCGAAGGGGGGACGGAGAAGGCUAUGUUGGCCGGGCGACGGUUGUCCCGGUUUAAGCGUGUAGGCUGGUUUUCCAGGCAAAUCCGGAAAAUCAAGGCUGAGGCGUGAUGACGAGGCACUACGGUGCUGAAGCAACAAAUGCCCUGCUUCCAGGAAAAGCCUCUAAGCAUCAGGUAACAUCAAAUCGUACCCCAAACCGACACAGGUGGUCAGGUAGAGAAUACCAAGGCGCUUGAGAGAACUCGGGUGAAGGAACUAGGCAAAAUGGUGCCGUAACUUCGGGAGAAGGCACGCUGAUAUGUAGGUGAAGUCCCCCGCGGAUGGAGCUGAAAUCAGUCGAAGAUACCAGCUGGCUGCAACUGUUUAUUAAAAACACAGCACUGUGCAAACACGAAAGUGGACGUAUACGGUGUGACGCCUGCCCGGUGCCGGAAGGUUAAUUGAUGGGGUUAGCGCAAGCGAAGCUCUUGAUCGAAGCCCCGGUAAACGGCGGCCGUAACUAUAACGGUCCUAAGGUAGCGAAAUUCCUUGUCGGGUAAGUUCCGACCUGCACGAAUGGCGUAAUGAUGGCCAGGCUGUCUCCACCCGAGACUCAGUGAAAUUGAACUCGCUGUGAAGAUGCAGUGUACCCGCGGCAAGACGGAAAGACCCCGUGAACCUUUACUAUAGCUUGACACUGAACAUUGAGCCUUGAUGUGUAGGAUAGGUGGGAGGCUUUGAAGUGUGGACGCCAGUCUGCAUGGAGCCGACCUUGAAAUACCACCCUUUAAUGUUUGAUGUUCUAACGUUGACCCGUGAUCCGGGUUGCGGACAGUGUCUGGUGGGUAGUUUGACUGGGGCGGUCUCCUCCUAAAGAGUAACGGAGGAGCACGAAGGUUGGCUAAUCCUGGUCGGACAUCAGGAGGUUAGUGCAAUGGCAUAAGCCAGCUUGACUGCGAGCGUGACGGCGCGAGCAGGUGCGAAAGCAGGUCAUAGUGAUCCGGUGGUUCUGAAUGGAAGGGCCAUCGCUCAACGGAUAAAAGGUACUCCGGGGAUAACAGGCUGAUACCGCCCAAGAGUUCAUAUCGACGGCGGUGUUUGGCACCUCGAUGUCGGCUCAUCACAUCCUGGGGCUGAAGUAGGUCCCAAGGGUAUGGCUGUUCGCCAUUUAAAGUGGUACGCGAGCUGGGUUUAGAACGUCGUGAGACAGUUCGGUCCCUAUCUGCCGUGGGCGCUGGAGAACUGAGGGGGGCUGCUCCUAGUACGAGAGGACCGGAGUGGACGCAUCACUGGUGUUCGGGUUGUCAUGCCAAUGGCACUGCCCGGUAGCUAAAUGCGGAAGAGAUAAGUGCUGAAAGCAUCUAAGCACGAAACUUGCCCCGAGAUGAGUUCUCCCUGACCCUUUAAGGGUCCUGAAGGAACGUUGAAGACGACGACGUUGAUAGGCCGGGUGUGUAAGCGCAGCGAUGCGUUGAGCUAACCGGUACUAAUGAACCGUGAGGCUUAACCUUACAACGCCGAAGGUGUUU